Molecule: long non-coding RNA, 664 nt
Organism: Perca fluviatilis (European perch)
Lineage: Eukaryota; Metazoa; Chordata; Actinopteri; Perciformes; Percidae
Exons: 2
Source: RefSeq, a predicted model, not a curated record
UGUCGUCGUCGUUUAAGAGAUUUUUCUACGAUAAGUGGUGCUCAUCUUAAACUAUGUUUUGUGUCAUUGACCUGCCUGAUGUGAAAACCGUUAACGCCUGAGGUGUUUUUGUGUGCUUUUUUAAUAAUCUAGUGACGUCAGCACGAUGACCCUAGUUGAAGAGUAGACCUAUGGAUCAACUUUCUGAGUAAAAUAAAUUGUGAAAUGAAUUACUGUUACCAAUAAACACAUUUGUCAUAUGAUAGGGUAGGCUAUACUGUUCAUUUGAUAGACAUAUAUUGCUGAAAUAUUGAGAAAUAAAGCCUUGCUUGUGGUGAUCAGUAGUUGAGUAGUAUUUCCAUCUGUUAUGGUUAAUGUUUGGAAGAUUCCAGCUCUGUCCUGCAGUUGCCACGCCCCCUAUACUUUGCCACUCAGUUCCAUCUGUAGUUUACCACACCUGCAAUCAAUCUGCCUCAAUCAGCCACAGACUCAAAUAGGCAGCACCUGUGCACACAGCCCUUCGUUUGUUCAAAACCACAUGGAGAAUCUUUGAUGCUGGACAUGCUGUGUUUCUUGCUUUGUGUGCGUUAUUGCUCUAUAAACCACACACCCAAACACGUAACCAUACAAACCUGUAACCUGUCUUCUUGAUAAUGCUUGGAAUAAAAGAAUUGUGGAAUUGAAA